This 739-nucleotide ribosomal RNA is filed under the name uncultured bacterium. RNAcentral describes it as "bacterial SSU rRNA". It matches the Rfam family "Bacterial small subunit ribosomal RNA", at positions 63 to 803 of the family's 1533-position model. The record is from RNAcentral.
CGAGCUUGUCUUGUGCUCGCAAGAGCGGGAGAGGAGCGAGUGGCGGACGGGUGAGCAACACGUGGGUGACCUACCUUUCAGUGAGGAAUACCGGCGAGAAAUCGCCGACAAGACCGCAUGCGCUUCCCUGCUCGCGAGAGGGGGGAAGGAAAGCUUUCCUUCGGGAAGGCGCUGGAAGAUGGGCCCGCGGCCGAUUAGCUGGUUGGUGGGGUAAGAGCCUACCAAGGCGACGAUCGGUAGCUGGUCUGAGAGGACGAUCAGCCACACUGGGAUUGAGAACGGCCCAGACUCCUACGGGGGGCAGCAGUGAGGAAUUUUCGGCAAUGGGGGCAACCCUGACCGAGCAACGCCGCGUGCAGGAGGAAGGUUUUCGGAUCGUAAACUGCUUUUCUCGGGGACGAGGACGGACGGUACCCGAGGAAGAAGCCCCGGCUAACUACGUGCCAGCAGCCGCGGUAAUACGUAGGGGGCGAGCGUUGUCCGGAGUUACUGGGCGUAAAGCGCACGCAGGCGGUCGUGUCAGUUUGGGGUUACAGCUCCCGGCUUAACCGGGAGAGCGCCUCGAAGACGGCAGGACUUGAGGGCCAAAGAGGGACACAGAAUUCCGGGUGUAGUGGUGAAAUGCGUAGAUAUCCGGAGGAAUACCAAAGGCGAAGGCAGUGUCCUGGUUGGUACCUGACGCUCAGGUGCGAAAGCUAGGGGAGCGAACGGGAUUAGAUACCCCGGUAGUCCUAGCCGU